CAAUAGCGUAUAUUAAAGUUGUUGCGGUUAAAAAGCUCGUAGUUGGAUUUCUGUUGAGAGCAGCCGGUCUGCACUUGGUGCAUGUAUCUGGUUUGAUCUCGGCAUCCUCUCAAAAGACGUUUCUGCGCUUGAUUGCGUGGAGCGGAGUUUGGGACUUUUACUUUGAGGAAAUUAGAGUGUUCACGGCAGGCAGUCGCCUUGAAUAUAUUAGCAUGGAAUAAUAAUAUAGGAUCUUGGUUCUAUUUUGUUGGUUUCUAGAGCUAAGAUAAUGAUUAAUAGGGACAAUUGGGGCAUUCGUAUUAACGCGUCAGAGGUGGAAUUCUUGGACUGCGUUACGACGAACUACUGCGAAAGCAUUUGCCAAGGAUGUUUNCAUUGA
RNAcentral lists this ribosomal RNA (379 nucleotides) under uncultured eukaryote. Its description in RNAcentral is "partial 18S ribosomal RNA". It matches the Rfam family "Eukaryotic small subunit ribosomal RNA", at positions 592 to 976 of the family's 1831-position model. The record is from RNAcentral.